UGUGAUACUUGGUGUAAAUUGAAGAAUCCCGUGAACCAUUGAGUUUUGAACGCAAGUUGCACCCAAGGCCACCCGGCCGAGGGCACGCCUGCCUGGGCAUAAUGCCUUGUGUCGCUCCGCCUACCUCGUCCUGAGCGCACCGUGCUCUUGCGGCAGCAGGCGGCGAAUGCAGA
This 173-nucleotide ribosomal RNA is filed under the name Aloe fibrosa. RNAcentral describes it as "5.8S ribosomal RNA". The stretch from base 1 to 102 matches the Rfam family "5.8S ribosomal RNA", at positions 54 to 154 of the family's 154-position model. From Rfam's summary of the family: 5.8S ribosomal RNA (5.8S rRNA) is a component of the large subunit of the eukaryotic ribosome. It is transcribed by RNA polymerase I as part of the 45S precursor that also contains 18S and 28S rRNA. Functionally, it is thought that 5.8S rRNA may be involved in ribosome translocation. The record is from RNAcentral. Lineage: Eukaryota; Viridiplantae; Streptophyta; Magnoliopsida; Asparagales; Asphodelaceae.